This 464-nucleotide ribosomal RNA is filed under the name bacterium Ellin350. Its description in RNAcentral is "bacterial SSU rRNA". It matches the Rfam family "Bacterial small subunit ribosomal RNA", at positions 29 to 487 of the family's 1533-position model. Lineage: Bacteria; Pseudomonadati; Pseudomonadota; Betaproteobacteria; Burkholderiales; Burkholderiaceae. The record is from RNAcentral.
AUUGAACGCUGGCGGCAUGCCUUACACAUGCAAGUCGAACGGCAGCACGGGGGCAACCCUGGUGGCGAGUGGCGAACGGGUGAGUAAUACAUCGGAACGUGUCCUGGAGUGGGGGAUAGCCCGGCGAAAGCCGGAUUAAUACCGCAUACGCUCUAUGGAGGAAAGCGGGGGAUCUUCGGACCUCGCGCUCAAGGGGCGGCCGAUGGCGGAUUAGCUAGUUGGUAGGGUAAAGGCCUACCAAGGCGACGAUCCGUAGCUGGUNUGAGAGGACGACCAGCCACACUGGGACUGAGACACGGCCCAGACUCCUACGGGAGGCAGCAGUGGGGAAUUUUGGACAAUGGGGGCAACCCUGAUCCAGCAAUGCCGCGUGUGUGAAGAAGGCCUUCGGGUUGUAAAGCACUUUUGUCCGGAAAGAAAUCCUCUGGGUUAAUACCUCGGGGGGAUGACGGUACCGGAAGAAU